GCGGGAGGAAAGAAACCAACAGGGAUUGCCCUAGUAACGGCGAGUGAAGCGGCAACAGCUCAAAUUUGAAAUCUGGCGUCUUCGGCGUCCGAGUUGUAAUUUGCAGAGGGCGCUUUGGCAUUGGCAGCGGUCCAAGUUCCUUGGAACAGGACGUCACAGAGGGUGAGAAUCCCGUACGUGGUCGCUAGCCUUUACCGUGUAAAGCCCCUUCGACGAGUCGAGUUGUUUGGGAAUGCAGCUCUAAAUGGGAGGUAAAUUUCUUCUAAAGCUAAAUACUGGCCAGAGACCGAUAGCGCACAAGUAGAGUGAUCGAAAGAUGAAAAGCACUUUGGAAAGAGAGUUAAAAAGCACGUGAAAUUGUUGAAAGGGAAGCGCUUGCAGCCAGACUUGCCUGUAGUUGCUCAUCCGGGUUUUUACCCGGUGCACUCUUCUAUAGGCAGGCCAGCAUCAGUUUGGGCGGUUGGAUAAAGGUCUCUGUCAUGUACCUCUCUUCGGGGAGAACUUAUAGGGGAGACGACAUGCAACCAGCCUGGACUGAGGUCCGCGCAUCUGCUAGGAUGCUGGCGUAAUGGCUGUAAGCGGCCCGUCUUGAAACACGGACCAAGGAGUCUAACAUCUAUGCGAGUGUUUGGGUGUCAAGCCCGAGCGCGUAAUGAAAGUGAACGGAGGUGGGAACCUUUCGGGGUGCACCAUCGACCGAUCCUGAUGUCUUCGGAUGGAUUUGAGUAAGAGCAUAGCUGUUGGGACCCGAAAGAUGGUGAACUAUGCUUGAAUAGGGUGAAGCCAGAGGAAACUCUGGUGGAGGCUCGCAGCGGUUCUGACGUGCAAAUCGAUCGUCAAAUUUGGGCAUAGGGGCGAAAGACUAAUCGAACUAUCUAGUAG
RNAcentral lists this ribosomal RNA (882 nucleotides) under Didymella glomerata. RNAcentral describes it as "partial large subunit ribosomal RNA". It matches the Rfam family "Eukaryotic large subunit ribosomal RNA", at positions 50 to 950 of the family's 3401-position model. The record is from RNAcentral. Lineage: Eukaryota; Fungi; Ascomycota; Dothideomycetes; Pleosporales; Didymellaceae.